CCUGCAACACACACACACACUCCUCCGUGACACGCACCCCUCCUGGUGUUGGGAAGGGAACAGGAGAAAGGUCAAAAGAAGCAAGAGACGAAGAGAAAGGAGCAGGGGAUGGAGGAAAAGGUGAAACAAAAAGGACAAACCCUAACAUCCCCAGUGAUUCUAAGGGACAAAAUCCCAGGUGCGGAAUAAAAUUCUGCCUCCUUAAGCUCGUUUUUUCCAUGCCUAGAAUUCAACCAUCACCAGAUGGCUCAGACUGAACUGAUUUCAAACCUCGAGGAGGCUCUUACCUUCUAAACAGGGACGGCUGUUUUCUAGUAAAAUCACUAAAAGGGCAGGAGAAAACUCGAAAGAGGUUCCUCCUUGGGCUCAUGUAUGU
Chelonoidis abingdonii (Abingdon island giant tortoise) is the source of this 376-nucleotide non-coding RNA. Lineage: Eukaryota; Metazoa; Chordata; Testudines; Testudinidae. The record is from RefSeq and is a predicted model, not a curated record.